AUGAACGCUGGCGGCGUGCCUAAUCCCUGCAAGUCGAGCGAACAGACGAGGAGCUUGCUCCUCUGACGUUAGCGGCGGACGGGUGAGUAACACGUGGAUAACCUACCUAUAAGACUGGGAUAACUUCGGGAAACCGGAGCUAAUACCGGAUAAUAUAUUGAACCGCAUGGUUCAAUAGUGAAAGACGGUUUUGCUGUCACUUAUAGAUGGAUCCGCGCCGCAUUAGCUAGUUGGUAAGGUAACGGCUUACCAAGGCAACGAUGCGUAGCCGACCUGAGAGGGUGAUCGGCCACACUGGAACUGAGACACGGUCCAGACUCCUACGGGAGGCAGCAGUAGGGAAUCUUCCGCAAUGGGCGAAAGCCUGACGGAGCUACGCCGCGUGAGUGAUGAAGGUCUUCGGAUCGUAAAACUCUGUUAUUAGGGAAGAACAAAUGUGUAAGUAACUAUGCACGUCUUGACGGUACCUAAUCAGAAAGCCACGGCUAACUACGUG
This 496-nucleotide ribosomal RNA is filed under the name uncultured bacterium. RNAcentral describes it as "partial 16S ribosomal RNA". It matches the Rfam family "Bacterial small subunit ribosomal RNA", at positions 29 to 507 of the family's 1533-position model. The record is from RNAcentral.